GAAUGUGGAUCUGAAUGCUUCUGGAAAGAUUGGCCUAAAAAGUAAUUGUGGAAGUUCCUGAGCACAUGCACUAAUACUGUUACUUGUAAUAAUUCUUUAGAUGCUGUUAAAAAUCAAGUUGAGGGCAUUUCAGGCAAAACUUUUUGUUAGAUUAUUACUGAAACUAGAAUUUUUCAAAUUGUUCUAUUUCUACGAUACAUCAAUUCUUUUUUCCCCUUUU
Molecule: unclassified non-coding RNA, 220 nt
Filed under: Hevea brasiliensis (rubber tree)
Lineage: Eukaryota; Viridiplantae; Streptophyta; Magnoliopsida; Malpighiales; Euphorbiaceae
Source: RNAcentral